This is a long non-coding RNA of Octopus sinensis (East Asian common octopus), 112 nucleotides long. RefSeq lists it as uncharacterized. The record is from RefSeq and is a predicted model, not a curated record. The transcript is spliced from 3 exons. NCBI's taxonomy places the organism in Eukaryota, Metazoa, Mollusca, Cephalopoda, Octopoda, Octopodidae.
CCGUUUGUUGUGGCGGUCGCCGGGACACGUCUUCACGCGAAGCGGCGGACCGGUACGGGGCUGUAGCGUUGGCGUCGGACUCGGCAUCCCGGUGCGCCCCUUUUUUCCGACC